This is a long non-coding RNA of Anguilla anguilla (European eel), 747 nucleotides long. RefSeq lists it as uncharacterized. The transcript is spliced from 2 exons. NCBI's taxonomy places the organism in Eukaryota, Metazoa, Chordata, Actinopteri, Anguilliformes, Anguillidae. The record is from RefSeq and is a predicted model, not a curated record.
CCACCAUCAAGUAGCCUUCGAAACACGUGAAUUUUUGUUGGUCAAAUGUGUCCGUGCUUUUAAAGAAGAAGACAGAACAUACUGCACCUUGUGGAGAUUAUGCUGGUUCUUCCCAUCUCAGCUUCCUAGUGUGAGAGGGGAUUCCCGCAUCAGAAAUUGACAAAAUCUCAUCAAAAAAUCCAUGUGAAGCAGUCUACAUGUCUCAACAACAAAGGAGCUCAUCAGAAUCAGCUUUGAAGUACGCUCUCUGGCAAGCUUUGUGAAGAAGUGCCUGUCUUCUAAAUGUUCAAGAAGACCAUUCAACAAAGGCUGGGCUGAAACCGUAAACUAGGAAGCUGAUUGUGGACUAACAUCUUUUGUUUGACAGUGUUUGAUGAAGCAGUGCGCAUGCAUGUUUUCUUGUUCAAUGUUAAAUUAUUGUAUAAUGUUACAGUACAAAAAAUGUUUUCCUGUCUGUGCCCCAAAUUUUUUGACUGCGCCCCUAUUUAAAAAAAAAAGAUUUAGGGGCACACGUGCUCCUGAAAAAAAUAAGCAUAGAGCCCUGAUGAUAACCCUUAAGUUAUUGUUACUAGCUCGUAUUGUCACUAAUGGUUACUAUCCAUAUUCACACAUAUUUUAAAUCAUGUUGCCUGUAUAACCCUCCCCUCCAUCUGUAUUUUAAAACCUUAAAACAUAUUCUACAUUGAAAAACAAUUUGUUUAAUAUGGUUUUUCCACCAAAAACUGUUCAAUAAACUACUGAAAAUGG